Non-coding RNA from Nelumbo nucifera (sacred lotus), 3024 nucleotides. The record is from RefSeq and is a predicted model, not a curated record. NCBI's taxonomy places the organism in Eukaryota, Viridiplantae, Streptophyta, Magnoliopsida, Proteales, Nelumbonaceae.
UAAAAGUAGAUUUAAAUGGUGAUUUACAUUGAUAAUGGGUCUUAAUUUACAUUUCAUCCAAACGCAUACAAAAGUGGACUACAUUGUAAAAUUACAUCUAACCGAGAACAGAAACUGAAUUGGAUGAUGACAGGGAAGGUGACUAAUUGGACUCCGGAUCUCUUGCCAAUUUAUAUUAGUGCCGGAACACUCGCAGUAUAAAUAGACUUUCAAAGGGUUACCUCAAUUCAAACAAAUCUGGUUUCAUGGGCAUCCGUGAUUUAUUGGCAUGCUCAAAGGGUUCAACUUGAGGAAGUCUUUUGGUGCUUUGAGUUGCUACUUGAUGUAGGUGCACAUGGCAGGCUCAAUGACAUAGGCGCACAUGGCAGGCCCAAGAUGGUGAUGCAUGGCACAAGUUAGAUCGCAUCCUCUGGCAGUUUAUUCAUAACAAACUUCAGGCAGGUUCAAGUAUAAAUAAGUGGUGUCACUCCCUAGGUAAGUUAUUUUGGCUUCUACUGCUCUAAGUUUUUUAGCUCUUUGGUGACCUUGUCUGAACUAUCUCUACUCAAGCCUCGUCCAAUCCUUUGCUACGCCCUUGCUAACUUGACCGUCGGAGUUUCCACCCCUGGGAUAACACCUAGGGCUUCUAACGUCUUCCUUUGCUCAUAGGUCGGACCUUGAAGCUUUUGGCUCUAUCAGCCCUCGGACUCAGCCAGUCCUCGUCUACAAAAAUAAAAUUACAUUAUUACCCUCGACCCAUCAUUGAUAACAACACUACUCAAAUCAGAGAUAAUGGAGGAGGUAGAUGAAGGAAUAUACAAUGAAUGUGAGCAUGAUGAUCUGCUUGCAAAGAAGGAACUAAUUGGAUUGAAGAUAAAGACCAAACGGUGGAAGAUCAACAUUGUGGGCAUUAUGGCAUAGGAUUAUGAAGGGUUAAGACUUUGGUGACUAUCUUAGGUUUAGUAAAUCAGAUUUUAUAGCUUCUGAAACAGUCUAAAAAAUGCUCUACUUCAAAAUUAGCCUGCAUACAGUCAGCAACUUCCACUUCCUGGAUACUAAUUUAUUGAAAAGGUUCAUGAUUCUCUAGUUUGGAAGCAAGAAUUCAAAAUUAGCCUUGUUGGCUAGGAAAAUAAGUUCCUGCAAAAGAAUGAAUUGAGCCGGUUUGGAGUCACCAAAGGUUGGAGAUUUUGCUAAGAGUGUGAUAUCUUAUGAUUUAAUUGAUAGCAGCUAAAUAUGGAACUAGACACAAGGGUUUGGAGUUGCCAGAGGUUGGACCAUGAUAUUGGUUGUGCAGUUUGGAAGGUCAUUUGAAGUGCUUAUUUCUUAUUUCAUUAGAGGAAUUGGUUUUGGUGUCACUGGUUACUUUCUCCAUAGCUACAAGUGAAGCAUUGGUUCUGGCUUUCUAUGAGACAUGGCCCCUAUGUGGCAGGAGUGAGGAUUUGGCUGUAUGGAUGUCAAUACUCCGAUCUAACACUGCAAGACCAAAUAAAAGAGAAACUUUGAUCAAGCCCAAGUGUGGGAUCACCAAAUUCUGUUAAAAGCGGCAUUUAUAAUCUGGACAACAUUUAUAUGUAAUUUCUAACUAAAGAUAAGUUGGUGGCCUGUGGUAUCGAUAUCUCCAAUUUGGGCUGCAAAUGCAAAUGCUGACCAUAUUUUCAUUCAUUGCAAGAUAAGCAUGGGUUUUAGAAACAUUUUCUCAAGAUCUUUUUUAGUGUAUUGGUGCUUCAGAAGGAUGUCAAAGGAAACUGUUGAGUGCUGAAAUAUAACAAAGAUUAGUGAAAAAAUGAAUCUUUAAGGAUUAUCAUUUCACUUGCUACAAUUUGGGUAAUAUUUUGGGGGAUGGGGGGAUGAAGCAGAAUUUUUUAAAACAAAGCAUCUCUUAUUAUUCUUUUGUUUUAUAUUAUGCAACUUGUAGAUAAAAUCAGUUUUAGUAUUUGGGUAAUACUUCUUGUACAGGGGCAUUAGGCAAUGUUACUGUAGCAUAAAUUGGUUUGUUGCUGAAUUUCAUGUUUAAUCAGAUAUAGUUUUCCCAUUCCAAAAUGAGCAUUGUUAGUGGUUACAUCCAGUGCAUGAUUUUCUGUUCCUUGCAUUUGAAUUGCAACCAUCUUCACAUAACCAUUCAUUGAUUGCAAGAAAAAGCUGUGAUUGAUGUGUACACUCUACUAGACAAAAGGUGUGCCAUUUUGCAAGUAAUACCCAAGGAAGAUUUCAAAUUCUAACAGCAAAUCUUUCUUUAGAUCUGGUGAAUCUCCCCUGUGCUUUGAUCAAGGGAUAGUGCUUGGAAUUCCAGAAAGAAAAACACCUGCAUACACCUAAAUGCUCUGCAAGUUGUUGGAAUGUGUUUCGAUUUUCAACACUCAUGCCCACAGGCAAUGUAGCCCAUUACAUUGGUGGGUAUAGAUGUUACAUGUGAUUCUGUUUCGAAGGUUGACAACUCAUGGGCACCUAAGAACAUGCUUUCCCAAUAAUUUUCCUUGUUGAUAUAAUGAUGAUAAUGACAAAGUGAAGUCUUAUCAGACUGAUGGAUUUAAAUUACUGUGAGAUCAUUUGGUUUGCAUCCUGAAACUUGGUUGGAAUUCAGAAUGAUAAUUCUAAGACUAGACCCUGUAAAGUUCCAUAAAACUUGCAGUACUGACUACUGAGGUUCUGAUCAUUCUGUCAAAAUCCACUGUCCAAAAUCCCAGAAUCAGGUUGAAAGUUUAGGCUACACUGUAACUGAUUACAGAGUCUGCACAUUGGAUUCGAACCAAAUGCCUUGUGGUUGGGGUUUCGAACAGAACCCUGAGGUUUGAGCUUCCUGAAUCCUGAACAGCCAUGAGCCUACAACUUUUAAGCUUCUACAGCCACUUCAAACCCUGACCUCUUCAGUGCAGUUAACUCGGAGCUUUGUGCUAUUGUACUGGAACCCAUUUCUUUUUAGUGGGAAAACUUUCACAAUACAAAGUAAUGGUACAUGCACUACCACCAAUUCGUACACAGAACGGAAUAAAAAUCAAGGAGGUGGGGCUCUCUCCCUUUUGUACAAUAGAAAGAGUUCCAACUAUU